GCCCCAUUGGCGCAGUCGGUUAGCGCGUCGUACUUAUAAGUGAAUGAGAUAUGCGAAGGUCAGAAGUUCGAGCCUGCUAUGGGGCA
Non-coding RNA from Ascaris suum (pig roundworm), 86 nucleotides. The record is from Rfam. Lineage: Eukaryota; Metazoa; Nematoda; Chromadorea; Rhabditida; Ascarididae.